RNAcentral lists this ribosomal RNA (284 nucleotides) under Hydnum itachiharitake. RNAcentral describes it as "partial 28S ribosomal RNA". It matches the Rfam family "Eukaryotic large subunit ribosomal RNA", at positions 1 to 274 of the family's 3401-position model. Lineage: Eukaryota; Fungi; Basidiomycota; Agaricomycetes; Cantharellales; Hydnaceae. The record is from RNAcentral.
UUUUGACCUCGAAUCAGGUGGGACUACCCGCUGAACUUAAGCAUAUCAAUAAGCGGAGGAAAAGAAACUAACAAGGAUUCCCUUAGUAACUGCGAGUGAAGUGGGAUGAGCUCAAAUUUAAAAUCUGGUAGUCUCUGGCUGCCCGAGUUGUAAUCUAGAGAAGUGUUUUCUGUGCUGGACUGCAUUCAAGUUUCCUGGAUAUGGAACAUCAUAGAGGGUGAGAAUCCCGUCUUUGGUGCAGACUCCCAGUGCUCUGUGAUGCGCUCUCAACGAGUCGAGUUGUU